GACGAACGCUGGCGGCGUGCUUAACACAUGCAAGUCGAACGGGAAGGCCCUGCUUUGGGGGGGUGCUCGAGUUGCGAACGGGUGAGUAACACGUGAGUAACCUGCCCUUGACUUUGGGAUAACUUCAGGAAACUGGGGCUAAUACCGGAUAGGAGCUCCUGCUGCAUGGUGGGGGUUGGAAAGUUUCGGCGGUUGGGGAUGGACUCGCGGCUUAUCAGCUUGUUGGUGGGGUAGUGGCUUACCAAGGCUUUGACGGGUAGCCGGCCUGAGCGGGUGACAGGACACAUUGGGCUUGAGAUACGGCCCAGACUCCUACGGGAGGCAGCAGUGGGGAAUAUUGCACAAUGGGCGGAAGCCUGAUGCAGCAACGCCGCGUGCGGGAUGACAGCCUUCGGGUUGUAAACCGCUUUCGCCUGUGACGAAGCGUGAGUGACGGUAAUGGGUAAAGAAGCACCGGCUAACUACGUG
This 468-nucleotide ribosomal RNA is filed under the name uncultured bacterium. Its description in RNAcentral is "partial 16S ribosomal RNA". It matches the Rfam family "Bacterial small subunit ribosomal RNA", at positions 28 to 507 of the family's 1533-position model. The record is from RNAcentral.